UACGGAAGGCAGCGGUGGGGAAUAUUGCACAAUGGGCGCAAGCCUGAUGCAGCCAUGCCGCGUGUAUGAAGAAGGCCUUCGGGUUGUAAAGUACUUUCAGUCGUGAGGAGGUGUUAAGGUUAAUAACCUUAGCAAUUGACGUUAGCGACAGAAGAAGCACCGGCUAACUCCGUGCCAGCAGCCGCGGUAAUACGGAGGGUGCGAGCGUUAAUCGGAAUUACUGGGCGUAAAGGGCACGCAGGCGGUUAAUUAAGUUGGAUGUGAAAUCCCCGGGCUUAACCUGGGAAUGGCAUUCAAGCUGGUUAGCUAGAGUCUUGUAGAGGGGGUAGAAUUCCAUGUGUAGCGGUGAAAUGCGUAGAGAUGUGGAGGAAUACCGGUGGCGAAGGCGGCCCCUGGACAAAGACUGACGCUCAUGUGCGAAAGCGUGGGGAGCAAACAGGGAUUAGAUACC
This 451-nucleotide ribosomal RNA is filed under the name uncultured bacterium. RNAcentral describes it as "bacterial SSU rRNA". It matches the Rfam family "Bacterial small subunit ribosomal RNA", at positions 340 to 786 of the family's 1533-position model. The record is from RNAcentral.